AUGGAGCCCAGCUCAAAACAGGAUUGUAAUAUACCAGCUAGAGUGGUAGAUGCUACAAAUUUACAGCCCGCAUUACUUCCAGGUGAAUUCCCAGAAAAAUUUUCAGUGUUAAAUGAUGAUGGUUGUGGGCAGCAGCGUCAAGUUGAGGAUAGUUCACAGACUCAUCGAGGCAAUGCAUCUGUUGAUAAAGGUUUAGGUGACCCAACUUCCAUUAGCGUAGAGGUCAGGCUGCCUAUUGCUGAGGGGAGUCAGUUCAUCGAUGAUAAAUGUAAUGACGUUAGU
This 282-nucleotide unclassified non-coding RNA is filed under the name Hevea brasiliensis (rubber tree). Lineage: Eukaryota; Viridiplantae; Streptophyta; Magnoliopsida; Malpighiales; Euphorbiaceae. The record is from RNAcentral.